CCUACCCCUAAAGGCAUUGCAGGUGUGACUGCUAUGUUACAUGUGCAUCAGCAGGUGGCAGAGAGGAGAGAGGCUGUGUCUACACUCAGUGUUCUGACCUGUGAACAUCUGACUGACUAAGUACCCUAAUAUU
Molecule: small nucleolar RNA, 133 nt
Organism: Acomys russatus (golden spiny mouse)
Lineage: Eukaryota; Metazoa; Chordata; Mammalia; Rodentia; Muridae
Product: small nucleolar RNA SNORA17
Exons: 1
Source: RefSeq, a predicted model, not a curated record